GUGUUGUCGUUGAGGCGCAUGGUGGAUGCCUUGGCAUGCUGAGCCGAUGAAGGACGUGCUAGGCCGCGAUAGGCCUCGGGGAGUUGUCAAAGGAGCGUUGAUCCGAGGGUGUCCGAAUGGGGAAACCUACUGCCUGUUAUUGGGUGGUACCAGCUCGUGAAUGUAUAGCGGGUGUGGGGGUUACGCGGGGAAGUGAAACAUCUCAGUACCCGUAGGAGAAGGAAAUAAUAUUUUAUGAUUCUGCUAGUAGCGGCGAGCGAACGUGGAUGUGGCUAAACCGUGUGUGUGUGAUACGUGGCAGUGGUUGCGCAUGCGGUGUUGUUGGGAUUGAUGUGUCUGGGUCUGCCAGCCUGGAGCAUGGCUGCGACAGUUAGGUGAACUGGCCUGGGAUGGU
Molecule: ribosomal RNA, 394 nt
Filed under: Campylobacter jejuni
Lineage: Bacteria; Pseudomonadati; Campylobacterota; Epsilonproteobacteria; Campylobacterales; Campylobacteraceae
Description: partial 23S ribosomal RNA
Rfam family: Bacterial large subunit ribosomal RNA
Source: RNAcentral